GCGCCAUUAGCUCAAUUGGAUAGAGCAUCUGUCUUCUACACCGCUGGUCGCAGGUUCGAGCCCUGCAUGGCGCACCA
This 77-nucleotide transfer RNA is filed under the name Acinetobacter johnsonii. RNAcentral describes it as "tRNA-Arg". It matches the Rfam family "tRNA". Rfam says of the family: Transfer RNA (tRNA) molecules are approximately 80 nucleotides in length. Their secondary structure includes four short double-helical elements and three loops (D, anti-codon, and T loops). The record is from RNAcentral. Lineage: Bacteria; Pseudomonadati; Pseudomonadota; Gammaproteobacteria; Moraxellales; Moraxellaceae.